This is a long non-coding RNA of Eriocheir sinensis (Chinese mitten crab), 2200 nucleotides long. RefSeq lists it as uncharacterized. NCBI's taxonomy places the organism in Eukaryota, Metazoa, Arthropoda, Malacostraca, Decapoda, Varunidae. The transcript is spliced from 6 exons. The record is from RefSeq and is a predicted model, not a curated record.
UUUACAGUGAAUUGUGUGGAAAUUAAAACGUGGCAGCAGUGCGAACAGAACAAGUUACCAGCUAGUCGCCAGCGAGGGUGACCCAACAUUGCCCGCGCACUGGAUAAUGGUGAGGAAGGUGUGGCCAAUCAGGUACGGGAUCCUGCUGGAGCAGCGAGUGACGGCCUCAGAGAUUGACGCCCAGAAGAAUGAACCUGUGUACCCAUAACCCGUGACGAACUGCCUUGUGCAGUCAUAUCGGGCAAGUCUACAGCUCCUGAUGGGGUCACUCAUGAUGUUAUCAAUGCCUUACUAGUCAUAAAAGAUAACCUAUCUUAGGUUUGUUUAACAUGUCUUACAACUCACAAAGCCUAGCUACCAUCUGCCUGGAAAAAUGCUGCGAUCAUUUCCAUUCCUAACGGUGACGGUAACUUUGGACCUAUUUCCUUAACUAGCUGUCUGUGUAAGAUGAUGGAAAGGAUAUACUACUUAGGCGCUUGACUGUAUAAGUGGGAGAUACCACGUCACGGAGUCUGUAUGGCUUUAUGAAGGGACUGGUGACUGCUUGAUUCAUCAGUGCUUAAGUUCUGCAGGUGCUGUUUGUCGUGCUUUCAUUGACCCAAUAAAGAGGUUAUAUUGGAACAACUUAUUUUAAAGGGCGUUAAAGGGAAAUUACUGGGGUGGCUCAAAGACUAUUUGCAUGAUAGGAUACGUGGCUCCAUGCUCUGCUGAAGGGAGUGUUGAAUUGGGCACUCCACAGGGAGGGGUCCUGAGUCCUUUGCUCUUUAAUAGUCUCAUGGACAAAAUUGCACAGUACCCCGGCCUUUCCUCAGGGCACACAAGUUUUUAUAUAUGCUGAAGAUAUACUUCUUCAGUGUAAUGCUCCACGGACGCUUACCUCAGCCCUCCACCAGCUUGAAGACUUGUGCACUUCUAUGGGUCUAGUUGUUAAUUAAUCCAAAACUAAAUUUCACUCCUCCACCUCCUUGCACCCACUUAUAAUCCACCUUUCCUCUAUCCAUCCACACUAUCCACAUCUUCCUAUCCUUAUCCGUUCUCCUGCUAUCCAUGUGUUUAUCCAGGACUAUGCCUAUCAUCUUCCAUCGUUCUUGGGGGUCAGAAUAGAUGGAGUGUGUUGGGCUCCACGUAUCAAUGAUGUCAAACUCGAUCGUGUCCACUGUUACAAACACUUGGGUGUCUAUCUUAGCUUUAAUAAAUUGAGUUAAUCACGUUGCCAUAUUGCUGCCAUAAUUCAUACACAGAAUCUGCCAUAAUUUUAACAUUGCGGUACAACAAUUUGGUCCGGCUGGCGUCAUCAUGCCCAAAAGAAGAAGAAGAAGAAGAGUAGGUCCACGGGCCGGCCUGCGUAGCGCCAUAAACCUUACUUUUUCUCGUGUUUUCCUUCAAACUACAAUGACGAGAAGAUCCACAGCCUGUGAGAAGAAGGUGGAGAGGACAGUGGCGGCCAGGGAAAGGAAGGAACACCGCAGAGAAGCCUUCAUGUGACGAAAGUGCCCUUCCACUACGCCACCACCACAACCACUACCACAACCACAACCAGUACCACCACAACCACCACCACUACCACCACAACCACCACCACCAAAUCACCACACUAAGCGUGAAGAUGUCAGGUCGCAACGCGUUGGUCCAUCGGAGCACCUUCCAGAACGCCAACCAGGUGGUGGAGUUGACCACACGCACCAUUCCCAAGGCUCAACACCACCACCAACACCAUCAGCGAGGACAUCAACACCAUUCACCACCACCAUUGAGGCCAGAUCACACCAACACCAGGAUUGGCUACAGUGAAGGUCGUGGCAGAGAGUGUACUCAAACUCCUACUGUGAGCUACUCCUGAUGCCUGCGCCCUCACCACCCCUGUGAAGGACGCCCAGCUGACCCAACCCUCCACGGUGGAGCGAUCGAGGGAAGUCAACACCUCUGUCCCUCCUUGGCUGGCGGUGGGCAAGACCAAGAGUUCCCUUCACAAGCCUGGCCUGAGGAACAUUGCCUUGGUAUAUGGGGUGACCUUCCUCGUGACCCAGUAUGACCUGACACGGCGGACACUAUAGUGUGUGUUGAUGCUGGGACCAAGAAGAAGAAGAAGAGGAGAAAAAGGAGGAAGAUGAUGAUAAAGGCAACAGGAAGAUCAGAAGAAGAAGAAGAGGAGGAGGAGGAAGAAUGGAAGAACACACACACACACACACACACACACACA